CGCAAGCCUGACGGAGCAAUACCGCGUGAGGGAGGAAGGCUCUUGGGUCGUAAACCUCUUUUAUCAGGGAAGAACACAAUGACGGUACCUGAUGAAUCAGCAUCGGCUAACUCUGUGCCAGCAGCCGCGGUAAUACAGAGGAUGCAAGCGUUAUCCGGAAUUAUUGGGCGUAAAGCGUCCGCAGGUGGUUUUGGUAGUCUGCUGUCAAAGCGCGAGGCUCAACUUCGUAUCGGCGGUGGAAACUCCAAGACUAGAGUUUGGUAGGGGUCACGGGAAUUCCCAGUGUAGCGGUGAAAUGCGUAGAUAUUGGGAAGAACACCAGCGGCGAAAGCGCGUGACUGGGCCUGAACUGACACUCAUGGACGAAAGC
This 370-nucleotide ribosomal RNA is filed under the name uncultured cyanobacterium. RNAcentral's name for it is "bacterial SSU rRNA". It matches the Rfam family "Bacterial small subunit ribosomal RNA", at positions 376 to 760 of the family's 1533-position model. Lineage: Bacteria; Bacillati; Cyanobacteriota. The record is from RNAcentral.